RNAcentral lists this ribosomal RNA (467 nucleotides) under uncultured bacterium. Its description in RNAcentral is "partial 16S ribosomal RNA". It matches the Rfam family "Bacterial small subunit ribosomal RNA", at positions 29 to 507 of the family's 1533-position model. The record is from RNAcentral.
ACGAACGCUGGCGGCGUGCUUAACCCCUGCAAGUCGAACGGAAAGGCCCGGCUUUUGUGGGGUGCUCGAGUGGCGAACGGGUGAGUAACACGUGAGUAACCUGCCCUUGACUUUGGGAUAACUUCAGGAAACUGGGGCUAAUACCGGAUAGGAGCUCCUGCUGCAUGGUGGGGGUUGGAAAGUUUCGGCGGUUGGGGAUGGACUCGCGGCUUAUCAGCUUGUUGGUGGGGUAGUGGCUUACCAAGGCUUUGACGGGUAGCCGGCCUGAGAGGGUGACCGGCCACAUUGGGACUGAGAUACGGCCCAGACUCCUACGGGAGGCAGCAGUGGGGAAUAUUGCACAAUGGGCGGAAGCCUGAUGCAGCAACGCCGCGUGCGGGAUGACGGCCUUCGGGUUGUAAACCGCUUUCGCCUGUGACGAAGCGUGAGUGACGGUAAUGGGUAAAGAAGCACCGGCUAACUACGUG